UUUAUAAUCAACCCACAGAGGUUUUCUAACCUUUUCUGGUGCUUGGAUAAUGAAGGCUUGCUGGUGAACCAAUGGUUCACCUGCUCCUUURAAAUGCAUUCGCAGAGUUCAAUACAGAGCUGGCUUCAGUCUGAUAAAAUUUUGUUAUCUGUGUGUGCUGUUGCUAGUGAAGAUGUUGAUUUUGCUUCCAAAUGUCCAAUUGAAUUGGACUGUGUCUUAGGCACAACAAUACUUGAU
Molecule: unclassified non-coding RNA, 237 nt
Filed under: Clavaria fuscata
Lineage: Eukaryota; Fungi; Basidiomycota; Agaricomycetes; Agaricales; Clavariaceae
Description: internal transcribe spacer 2
Source: RNAcentral